This 456-nucleotide ribosomal RNA is filed under the name Rhodococcus sp. (in: high G+C Gram-positive bacteria). Its description in RNAcentral is "bacterial SSU rRNA". It matches the Rfam family "Bacterial small subunit ribosomal RNA", at positions 330 to 797 of the family's 1533-position model. Lineage: Bacteria; Bacillati; Actinomycetota; Actinomycetes; Mycobacteriales; Nocardiaceae. The record is from RNAcentral.
CCCAGACUCCUACGGGAGGCAGCAGUGGGGAAUAUUGCACAAUGGGCGAAAGCCUGAUGCAGCGACGCCGCGUGAGGGAUGACGGCCUUCNGGGUUGUAAACCUCUUUCAGCAGGGACGAAGCGCAAGUGACGGUACCUGCAGAAGAAGCACCGGCUAACUACGUGCCAGCAGCCGCGGUAAUACGUAGGGUGCAAGCGUUGUCCGGAAUUACUGGGCGUAAAGAGUUCGUAGGCGGUUUGUCGCGUCGUUUGUGAAAACCAGCAGCUCAACUGCUGGCUUGCAGGCGAUACGGGCAGACUUGAGUACUGCAGGGGAGACUGGAAUUCCUGGUGUAGCGGUGAAAUGCGCAGAUAUCAGGAGGAACACCGGUGGCGAAGGCGGGUCUCUGGGCAGUAACUGACGCUGAGGAACGAAAGCGUGGGUAGCGAACAGGAUUAGAUACCCUGGUAGUCCA